This is a long non-coding RNA of Cygnus olor (mute swan), 777 nucleotides long. RefSeq lists it as uncharacterized. NCBI's taxonomy places the organism in Eukaryota, Metazoa, Chordata, Aves, Anseriformes, Anatidae. The record is from RefSeq and is a predicted model, not a curated record. The transcript is spliced from 3 exons.
GAUCUCCCUGUUGCUGUCUCAGACCAGGAGCUGUUCUUCUCCCCUUUCCUUCUGAGGAGGGGAAGUGAGAGAGCAGCUGUGUGGUGCUUAGCUGCCCAUCCUUGUUAAAUCACCAUACCUGAAUCACGAUUUUCAAAAGCAAGCAGCUGAACUUGGUUUGUAUGGGGCACAUUUUAAAGAUACGUAGGAGGGUAAGGAUGAAGAUAGGAAUGUAACUCUUCUAGGCAUAGAAAUAUUUUGGAAUACUGCACAAGCUGUCCUUGAAAAGCAGAGUUAAUGGCCUUAUUUUCAGAAGUGUUGAGUACCCACCUGCUGUCUAAAUGCAGUAUUUCUGAGAACUAAACCACUGAAUUUGGUUCCUUAGAUAAAUAGGGACAAAUUUGGACAAACAUCAAGCUCUUUUAGAGGUUCCAUUUCUUCAAUCUACUUUGGAAAUGAGGCCUUUGGAACAUCCUUUGGAACAAAACAUGUUUCAGCAAUGAUCAUUGGUAAAGGGGAGCAGAACAUAAUUUAGGCACAAAAAUUUGUACCGGGAUUCAUUAGAUGACAAUGUCAUCUGAUCAAAUUGAUGGAAAUCUAUUGAACUGCAUGAACUAUAUGUUUUCAAAAGCACAAAUAACAGGGAAGAUGUUGCCAGCACUUCCUUGUCUGACUUUUAGAAAAUUCCACAGUUUUAUAGCUUUAUAUUCCAAGGGCAGGAUGAGCACAGGUGCUGUUGUUUCUUUUCCCCCAAAGGAAAUUUUGUGAGGAAAAGGAAUUAUGGAUGAUUUAAGUAUG